UUCUCAGAGGAAGUGGUGAGUGCUGUUCCUGCACCCCCCGAGCCAGAGCCAGAGCAGAAAUGAAUGCAGAGAGAGAGAGGAGGGCAGAGCAGAGCUCAAGAGAAAGGAGGUGUUAGCAAGAACCGAGUGAAGAAAAUGGCGAUCAUGCAGAACGAAUGCCUCCCCUCGUAGAUGCUGCAAACGAGUUGAAAUUCUUUUAGCCUUACAGCCGGCUUUCCUUUCCACUCUGCUGCACUUUUUACUUAAAUGAGAGAUUUGGAAUUGGAAGCUGUUGCCACCAAAGAAACUGAAGCAUCUUAAUAGGGAACGCACCCAUAGAGGGAAGAACAGUGGAUGGAAGAGAGAGAGAGACGGAGAGUGUGAAGAGGAAGGAGGAUAAGAAGAUACUGGACGGAAGGUGAGAGAAGAGAUCGAGUCUUCUGUCAGCAGCUUCCUGGUGCUGGAGCAUACCAAGUCAAGGCAGAGUCCUAAAUCUAAACUACAUCCCCCCCCCUUCCCCCUCCCCGCACAUACACUUACCCGCACACAUACAGUCCCCAGCGAUGCCAAGGCAGCCUGAUCAGCCUGCUGCCUGCUCUGACAAGCCCUGCCUCUUCACCUCAGGUUAUUGAGGUUGUACCCUGUGAGCUUUGACCACUGACCUCCCCUUUGUCGAACUGGGAACCAGGGGUCACUUGUUCUCCAUUCAACCCGGGGACGCCCUCCUGCCCACCGAGGAGCCGCAGCUACAAGAAACACUCGCAGGCAUGGCUCCCAUUCGGGAUUCCGUCAGCCACUCCCCUAAUCAGACAGGUGACUACACAUGGCUGCCUUCUUCCCCAUUCUUCAGUAUUUCAUCU
This is a long non-coding RNA of Monopterus albus (swamp eel), 839 nucleotides long. RefSeq lists it as uncharacterized. The record is from RefSeq and is a predicted model, not a curated record. Lineage: Eukaryota; Metazoa; Chordata; Actinopteri; Synbranchiformes; Synbranchidae. The transcript has 5 exons.